UGAACGCUGGCGGUAUGCUUAACACAUGCAAGUCGAACGGUAACAGGCGGAGCUUGCUCUGUGCUGACGAGUGGCGGACGGGUGCGUAACGCGUGGGAAUCUGCCUUUUAGUGGGGGAUAGCCCGGAGAAAUCCGGAUUAAUACCGCAUAAGCCCUACGGGGGAAAGCUUGGGAUCUUCGGACCUGGCGCUAUUAGAUGAGCCCGCGUUAGAUUAGCUAGUUGGUGAGGUAAAGGCUCACCAAGGCGACGAUCUAUAGCUGGUCUGAGAGGACGAUCAGCCACACUGGGACUGAGACACGGCCCAGACUCCUACGGGAGGCAGCAGUGGGGAAUAUUGCACAAUGGGCGCAAGCCUGAUGCAGCAAUACCGCGUGUGUGAAGAAGGCCUGAGGGUUGUAAAGCACUUUCAAUAGUGAAGAAAAGUUCUUGGUUAAUAGCCUUGAACCUUGACGUUAACUAUACAAGAAGCACCGGCUAACUCC
RNAcentral lists this ribosomal RNA (483 nucleotides) under uncultured bacterium. RNAcentral's name for it is "bacterial SSU rRNA". It matches the Rfam family "Bacterial small subunit ribosomal RNA", at positions 30 to 504 of the family's 1533-position model. The record is from RNAcentral.